This 465-nucleotide ribosomal RNA is filed under the name Vreelandella stevensii. RNAcentral's name for it is "partial 16S ribosomal RNA". It matches the Rfam family "Bacterial small subunit ribosomal RNA", at positions 338 to 795 of the family's 1533-position model. Lineage: Bacteria; Pseudomonadati; Pseudomonadota; Gammaproteobacteria; Oceanospirillales; Halomonadaceae. The record is from RNAcentral.
CCUACGGGGGGCUGCAGUGGGGAAUAUUGGACAAUGGGGGGAACCCUGAUCCAGCCAUGCCGCGUGUGUGAAGAAGGCCCUCGGGUUGUAAAGCACUUUCAGUGAGGAAGAACGCCUGGUGGUUAAUACCCAUCAGGAAAGACAUCACUCACAGAAGAAGCACCGGCUAACUCUGUGCCAGCAGCCGCGGUAAUACGGAGGGUGCGAGCGUUAAUCGGAAUUACUGGGCGUAAAGCGCGCGUAGGUGGCUUGAUAAGCCGGUUGUGAAAGCCCCGGGCUCAACCUGGGAACGGCAUCCGGAACUGUCAAGCUAGAGUGCAGGAGAGGAAGGUAGAAUUCCCGGUGUAGCGGUGAAAUGCGUAGAGAUCGGGAGGAAUACCAGUGGCGAAGGCGGCCUUCUGGACUGACACUGACACUGAGGUGCGAAAGCGUGGGUAGCAAACAGGAUUAGAUACCCUGGUAGUC